GACGAACGCUGGCGGCGUGCUUAACACAUGCAAGUCGAGCGGAAAGGCCACUUCGGUGGUACUCGAGCGGCGAACGGGUGAGUAACACGUGAGUAAUCUGCCCCUCACUUUGGGAUAGCCACCGGAAACGGUGAUUAAUACCGGAUAUGACCAUAUGUCGCAUGGCGUGUGGUGGAAAGUUUUUCGGUGAGGGAUGUGCUCGCGGCCUAUCAGCUUGAUGGUGGGGUAAUGGCUCACCAUGGCUUCGACGGGUAGCCGGCCUGAGAGGGGGACCGGUCAAACUGGGACUAGGACACGCCCCAGACUCCUACGGGGGGCAGCAGUGGGGAAUAUGGGACAAUGGGCGGAGGCCUGAGCCAGCAACGCCGCGUGGGGGAUGACGGCCUUCGGGUGGUAAACCUCUUUCAGUACCAACGAAGCGCAAGUGACGGUAGGUACAGAAGAAGCACCGGCCAACUACGUG
This 463-nucleotide ribosomal RNA is filed under the name uncultured bacterium. RNAcentral's name for it is "partial 16S ribosomal RNA". It matches the Rfam family "Bacterial small subunit ribosomal RNA", at positions 28 to 507 of the family's 1533-position model. The record is from RNAcentral.